RNAcentral lists this ribosomal RNA (301 nucleotides) under uncultured bacterium. Its description in RNAcentral is "partial 16S ribosomal RNA". It matches the Rfam family "Bacterial small subunit ribosomal RNA", at positions 509 to 807 of the family's 1533-position model. The record is from RNAcentral.
CAGCCGCCGCGGGAAUACGGAGGGGGCUAGCGUUGUUCGGAAUUACUGGGCGUAAAGCGCACGUAGGCGGCUUGGUAAGUUAGAGGUGAAAGCCCGAAGCUCAACUCCGGAAUUGCCUUUAAGACUGCCGAGCUAGCAGGUGAGAGAGGUAAGUGGAAUUCCGAGUGUAGAGGUGAAAUUCGUAGAUAUUCGGAAGAACACCAGUGGCGAAGGCGGCUUACUGGCUCAUACUGGACGCUGAGGUGCGAAAGCGUGGGGAGCAAACAGGAUUAGAUACCCCUGUAGUCCCUGUCUCUUAUAC